AGUGAACGCUGGCGGUAGGCCUAACACAUGCAAGUCGAACGGCAGCACAGAGGAGCUUGCUCCUUGGGUGGCGAGUGGCGGACGGGUGAGGAAUACAUCGGAAUCUACUCUGUCGUGGGGGAUAACGUAGGGAAACUUACGCUAAUACCGCAUACGACCUACGGGUGAAAGCAGGGGAUCUUCGGACCUUGCGCGAUUGAAUGAGCCGAUGUCGGAUUAGCUAGUUGGCGGGGGAAAGGCCAACCAAGGCGACGAUCCGUAGCUGGUCUGAGAGGAUGAGCAGCCACACUGGAACUGAGACACGGUCCAGACUCCUACGGGAGGCAGCAGUGGGGAAUAUUGGACAAUGGGCGCAAGCCUGAUCCAGCCAUACCGCGUGGGUGAAGAAGGCCUUCGGGUUGUAAAGCCCUUUUGUUGGGAAAGAAAUCCAUCUGGUUAAUACCCGGGUGGGAUGACGGUACCCAAAGAAUAAGCACCGGCUAACUUCGUGCCAGCCGCCGCCGUAA
Molecule: ribosomal RNA, 506 nt
Filed under: uncultured bacterium
Lineage: Bacteria
Description: partial 16S ribosomal RNA
Rfam family: Bacterial small subunit ribosomal RNA
Source: RNAcentral